CGACACUCCCUGCCGCCGGCCACACCUCCAACUAAGCUCCAAGCAUCAGUCCUUCCACUGCCCAAAGCUGAUACAACCUCUUUCUUAGCCUUCCCCAUCAUGACUUCCAGCGAUGCUUCUCUGUCGCUGCAAAUUCAAGGCUGACCCAUCCGCCGCCGACAACAGAGCACCGACCUCAAAGAAGAAUUCACGUCGGGUUCACCAGUCACGGCCUUGAACGAGUCCUCGUAGCUCAAAUACGAACCCUGCACCGAAAUUGCCCAACGUCUUUCACACCCAGAAUGCGCUGUGCGCUUCAUUUCACUGUCCUCCACCACUGCCGAUUCGCAGAAAUAAUUCAUCCAUAAUCUCGUCAACAUACUACCGUAUUGCCAACGGCCACCACAAGCGGCUUUCCAGACCUCGAAGAAGAAGACAUCGACUGCCCGAAACGCAGGUCACAGCCCCAGCAAAACACUGAAGAAACCGGCUGCCCACAGUAAGAAAAUCACUGAUUGUUGCAACCUCCAACAACAAAUCUCUGACUCAAACCGAAAAACUGAAUCAGAAAUUGCACCACUAACCUAAAAAAACCCCCGUCGAAAGAGGAGUCCCAAACAACUCUACGCUCACUGCACCCGAAUCCACGACUGAACUAAAAGAAAAUACACAGCUGAAAUCACCGAAACAAUUCCUCAACUGAAAUCACGACUUAAAAUGCCUCACUGAUCCUACACAAAGAAGAAAUCACCGAUAAUAGAACUAAACGGAGUGAGUUUGACCAGAAAUUUUGAACCCCAGAGAAAACCGUCAAUGAAAGAGUUUGCAAGUGUUGAACACGAGAGCAAGAGGUAU
RNAcentral lists this long non-coding RNA (834 nucleotides) under Olea europaea subsp. europaea. Lineage: Eukaryota; Viridiplantae; Streptophyta; Magnoliopsida; Lamiales; Oleaceae. The record is from RNAcentral.